This 253-nucleotide ribosomal RNA is filed under the name uncultured bacterium. Its description in RNAcentral is "partial 16S ribosomal RNA". It matches the Rfam family "Bacterial small subunit ribosomal RNA", at positions 524 to 776 of the family's 1533-position model. The record is from RNAcentral.
UACGUAGGGUGCAAGCGUUAAUCGGAAUUAUUGGGCGUAAAGCGUGCGCAGGCGGUUUUGUAAGUCUGUCGUGAAAUCCCCGGGCUUAACCUGGGAAUGGCGAUGGAGACUGCAAGGCUAGAAUCUGGCAGAGGGGGGUAGAAUUCCACGUGUAGCAGUGAAAUGCGUAGAGAUGUGGAGGAACACCGAUGGCGAAGGCAGCCCCCUGGGUCAAGAUUGACGCUCAUGCACGAAAGCGUGGGGAGCAAACAGG